CACACUGGGACUGAGAUACGGCCCAGACUUCUACGGGAGGCAGCAGCUAAGAAUCUUCCGCAAUGGGCGAAAGCCUGACGGAGCGACGCCGCGUGGGUGAAGAAGGCCGAAAGGUUGUAAAGCUCUUUUCUUAGAGAAGAAUAAAGGCAAGAGGGAAUGCUUGUUUGAUGACGAUACCUAAGGAAUAAGCCCCGGCUAAUUACGUGCCAGCAGCCGCGGUAACACGUAAGGGGCGAGCGUUGUUCGGAAUUAUUGGGCGUAAAGGGCGCGCAGGCGGCGUUGCAAGCCUGGUGUGAAAUGCGGCGGCUUAACCGCUGGCAUGCGCUGGGAACUGCAGGGCUAGAGUUCUAGAGGGGGAGCUGGAAUUCCUGGUGUAGGGGUGAAAUCUGUAGAGAUCAGGAAGAACACCGGUGGCGAAGGCGAGCUUCUGGCUAGAGACUGACGCUGAGGCGCGAAAGCGUGGGGAGCGAACAGGAUUAGAUACCCUGGUAGUCCACGCUGUAAACGAUGUGCACUAGGUGUUGGAGUGAAGAGAAUACUUCGGUGCCGCUAGCUAACGCGUAUAAGUGCACCGCUCUGGGGUAGUAUGCUCGGCAGGGGUAAACUUCACAGGAAUUUGACGGGUGCCCGCACCAAGCGUGUGGAGCUUGUGGUUUACUUCGAUGAUACGCGAGGAACCUUACCAGGGCUUGACAUAUGCAAGGGAGGCACAAGAGAGUGUGCUGCCUGAUUUUCAGUUCUGCAUACAGGUGCUGCAUGGCUGUCGUCAGCUCGUGCUGUGAAGUGUUGGGUUAAGUCCCGCAACGAGCGCAACCCCUGCUGGUCUUGUUGCCAGCAUGUUAUGGUGGGGACUCAGACGGUACUGCCGGUGACAAACCGGAGGAAGGUGGGGACGACGUCAAG
RNAcentral lists this ribosomal RNA (903 nucleotides) under uncultured organism. RNAcentral describes it as "bacterial SSU rRNA". It matches the Rfam family "Bacterial small subunit ribosomal RNA", at positions 309 to 1189 of the family's 1533-position model. The record is from RNAcentral.